Molecule: microRNA precursor, 63 nt
Filed under: Eisenia fetida (common brandling worm)
Lineage: Eukaryota; Metazoa; Annelida; Clitellata; Crassiclitellata; Lumbricidae
Description: Efe-Mir-71-P1_pre stem-loop
Source: RNAcentral
UGAAAGACAUGGGUAGUGAGAUGUUCUGUUACUGAAUACCAUCUUACUACCUUGUCCUUCCAG